AUCACAUUUACUCAAUACACAGAGACACACACAUACACUAUAGAUCACCUUUACUCCAUACACAGAGACACAUACAGUCUAGACCACCUUUACUCCAUACACAGAGACACAUACCCUAUAGAUCACCUUUACUCCACACACAGAGACACAUACACUCUAGAUCACCUUUACUCCAUACACAGAGACACAUACACUAUAGAUCACCUUUACUCCAUACACAGAGACACAUACACUCUAGAUCACCUUUACUCCAUACACAGAGACACAUACACUCUAGAUCACCUUUACUCCAUACACAGAGACACAUACACUAUAGAUCACCUUUACUCCAUACACAGAGACAUACACUCUACAUCACCUUUCCUCCAUACACAGAGACACAUACAGUCUAGAUCACAUUUACUCCAUACACAGAGACACAUACACUAUAGAUCACCUUUACUCCAUACACAGAGACACAUACACUCUACAUCACCUUUACUCCAUACACAGAGACACAUACACUAUAGAUCACCUUUACUCCAUACACAGAGACACAUACACUAUAGAUCACCUUUACUCCAUACACAGAGACACAUACACUCUACACCACCUUUACUCCAUACACAGAGACACAUACACUAUAGAUCACCUUUACUCCAUACACAGAGACACAUACACUAUAGAUCACCUUUACUCCAUACACAGAGACACAUACACUCUACAUCACAUUUACUCCAUACACAGAGACACAUACACUCUACAUCACCUUUACUCCAUACACGGAGACACAUACACUCUAGAUCACCUUUACUCCAAAUACAGAGACACAUACAGUCUAGACCACCUUUACUCCAUACACAGAGACACAUACAGUCUAGACCACCUUUACUCCGUACACAGAGACACAUACAGUCUAGACCACCUUUACUCCAUACACAGAGACACAUACACUAUAGAUCACCUUUACUCCAUACACAGAGACACAUACACUAUAGAUCACCGUUACUCCAUACACAGAGACACAUACACUCUACAUCACCUUUACUCCAUACACAGAGACACAUACACUAUAGGUCACCAUUACGCCAUACACAGAGACACAUACACUAUAGAUCACCUUUACUCCAUACACAGAGACACCUACACUCUACAUCACCUUUACUCCAUACACAGAGACACAUACACUAUAGAUCACCUUUACUCCACACACAGAGACACAUACACUCUAGAUCACCUUUACUCCAUACACAGAGACACAUACACUCUACAUCCCCUUUACUCCAUACACAGAAACACAUACAGUCUAGACCACCUUUAAUCCAUACACAGAGACACAAACAGUCUAGACCACCUUUACUCCAUACACAGAGACACAUACACUAUAGAUCACCUUUACUCCACACACAGAGACACAUACACUCUAGAUCACCUUUACUCCAUACACAGAGACACAUACACUCUAGAUCACCUUUACUCCAUACACAGAGACACAUACACUAUAGAUCACCUUUACUCCACACACAGAGACACAUACACUCUAGAUCACCUUUACUCCAUACACAGAGACACAUACACUCUAGAUCACCUUUACUCCAUACACAGAGACACAUACACUAUAGAUCACCUUUACUCCAUACACAGAGACACAUACAGUCUAGAUCACAUUUACUCCAUACACAGAGACACAUACACUCUAGAUCACUUUUACUCCAUACACAGAGACACAUACACUAUAGAUCACCUUUACUCCACUCACAGAGACACAUACAGUGCUCUCCCUCACCCUCCAUUUGGCAAAUCUGA
Molecule: long non-coding RNA, 1785 nt
Filed under: Oncorhynchus mykiss (rainbow trout)
Lineage: Eukaryota; Metazoa; Chordata; Actinopteri; Salmoniformes; Salmonidae
Description: lncRNA (ENSOMYG00000076300.1)
Source: RNAcentral